RNAcentral lists this transfer RNA (74 nucleotides) under Methylobacterium sp. PvR107. Its description in RNAcentral is "tRNA-Arg". Lineage: Bacteria; Pseudomonadati; Pseudomonadota; Alphaproteobacteria; Hyphomicrobiales; Methylobacteriaceae. The record is from RNAcentral.
UGUUUCGCUAGGAGAUCGAGACCACCAGCCUACGAAUCUGGGGGUCAGAGGUUCGAAUCCUUUCGGGCGCGCCA